UCGAACCUGUCCCGAAAUAGGAAAAACUUGUGAACGUGUUGAUACGCAUGCGUUGCGUGGGGACUUUAACCGGUCGUCACGCUCGUUUUCUCCGUAGAUCGGAUGCGGCAGAGCGGGUGCACACUCGUUAUGCCGUGCUCGGUUCGGUCGGAGCUCACCAAACCCCGGCGUGAAAAGCGCCAAGGACAAUUCAGUGAACAGCAGCUCACUCCGAAUCGGUGUGAUGCCUGCGAUCAUAAGUAGUCUAAAACGACUCUCGGCAACGGAUAUCUCGGCUCUCGCAUCGAUGAAGAACGUAGCGAAAUGCGAUACUUGGUGUGAAUUGCAGAAUCCCGUGAACCAUCGAGUUUUUGAACGCAAGUUGCGCCCCAAGCCGUCAGGCCGAGGGCACGCUUGCCUGGGUGUCACGCAUCGUCAUCUCCUCCACCCGUGUAAAGCUUUUACGCCGGGGUGGGAUUACGGAGAAGGAGAUUGGUCUCCCGUGUGUUACCGCAUGCGGUUGGCCUAAAAUCGAGCAACGGGGGCGCGGAGCUUCCUGACGAGCGGUGGCCUGAAGAUGCCUCGUGAAAACGUCUGUCGCUUCCGUCCCAUAGAGUUGACUCAUAACCCUCUUAGCGUCGCUCGCACNANUCNNNGGAGCAUACCUNAGAGCAGGCGCNC
Molecule: ribosomal RNA, 660 nt
Filed under: Cleoserrata speciosa
Lineage: Eukaryota; Viridiplantae; Streptophyta; Magnoliopsida; Brassicales; Cleomaceae
Description: eukaryotic LSU rRNA
Rfam family: 5.8S ribosomal RNA (bases 252-407)
Source: RNAcentral